UACAGAGACUGCAAGCGUUAUUCGGAUUCACUGGGCGUAAAGGGUGCGCAGGCGGUUGGGUGUGUCAGAUGUGAAAAUCCCGAGGCUUAACCUCGGAACUGCGUCUGAAACUACUCGACUAGAGUACUGGAGAGGGAAACGGAAUUCACGGUGUAGCAGUGAAAUGCGUAGAUAUCGUGAGGAACACCAGAGGCGAAGGCGGUUUCCUGGACAGUUACUGACGCUCAGGCACGAAAGCAUGGGGAGCAAAAAGGG
This 255-nucleotide ribosomal RNA is filed under the name uncultured bacterium. RNAcentral's name for it is "partial 16S ribosomal RNA". It matches the Rfam family "Bacterial small subunit ribosomal RNA", at positions 524 to 777 of the family's 1533-position model. The record is from RNAcentral.